Molecule: long non-coding RNA, 1618 nt
Organism: Oncorhynchus tshawytscha (Chinook salmon)
Lineage: Eukaryota; Metazoa; Chordata; Actinopteri; Salmoniformes; Salmonidae
Source: Ensembl
AAAAUAUAUCCCCAAAAACAGAAAACGGAUCUGACAACAAUCGACCUUUAUGCAAAACCUCUUAUAUGCCUAAUUUUACGCGGAAUGUUGUGCGGAAAAUCAGGCCUGUGCCCUGUGUUGCUGUCAGUUGUGACAGUUCCCAGAUGGGGUCUGCUACUGUAUGUGAGAUUGAAUUUCUCACAAAAAAAACUCCCUCUCCAUCCAAACCGUCCUCAAAAACCUUCUCCAGGCACAGGUCGGUGCGCCAGCUCCCAGGACAGAGGCUAUGUUGUCUUGUCGAAAAGCCCUGAGUGCUCCGCAUGAAAGGAACCGCUCGGGGUCUCUGUAUAGCCGAGGACAUUAUCAGUGGAUGGGAAUCGACAAGGGCUGUUGGAACCUGAUGGUAUUUCUUCCUAUUAGAGGUCGUGGAUAUAACGAACCUUAUCUAAUCCAUGCCAACCAACCAACCAGUCAGAAGUGAAACAGUCCAACUGAAGACUAUGGAACCAUGGAGAUGGCGGCAAGACCACCAUUCUGUCCUUAAUAAUCAACUCGAAUAUGUAGGCUACAUAUUGUUUGAGAAAAUCAUUUCUGAGUUAAAGGGACAGUCUUCAGUUGAAACAAUUACAAAGUGGACACCCUACCUCUGUAUUGGUUAAAAAAACGGAGGGAAGGGCCUGGAGAAAUGUAACCACUCUAAAAUGCAUAGAUAGCGCAAUGGAUGCAAGGACUGACCACCCAAUAUAUCAAAAAUAGUUUUAAGCAUGUUUUGUAGCUAAAUAUGUGUAUACCGAUACAAUUGGUUUUGGUUUGUUUGUUUACAUGUGCAAUGUUUACAAACAAGCUUAUAUUUUGGUUCUGAUGGGGUACGACAGUUGAACUAAAUUUAUGAGGCAUUUAUAUGUCAUAUUCUUCAAGAAUCAAUGGGCAACGGGUAUUCACACACUUGACUUUUUAAACAUUUUGUUGUGCCUUCAGAAAGUCUUCAUACUCCUUGACUUUUUAAACAUUUUGUUGUGUUACAAAGUGGGAUUCAAAUUCAAAAUGAAUUGUAUUUUUUUUUUGUCAACAACCUACACAAAAUACUAUAACAUUUGUUUUAAAAAAUGUAUGGAAAAUAAAACAUUAAUUUAUCUUGAUUAGCUACGUAUUCAACCCCCUGAGUCAAUACAUGUUAGCAUCACCUUUGACAGCUGUGUGCAAUAAUAAUAACAUGAUGCAGCCACCACCGUGCUUGAAAAUAUGAAGAGCGGUACUCAGUGAUGUGUUGUGUUGGAUUUGCCCCAAACAUACAGUAAUGUUUUGUAUUCAGGACAUAAAGGAACAUUUCUUUGCCACAUUUUUUUCACAAUAUUACUUUAGUGCCUUAUUGCAAACAGGAUGCAUGAUUUGGAAUAUUUUUAUAAUGUACAGGCUUCCUUCUUUCACUGUCCUUUAGCAAUUUAGGUUAGUAUUGUGGAGUAACCACAAUGUUGUAGGUCAAUUUCUCCUAUCACAGCCAUUAAACUCUAACUGUUUUAAAGUCACCAUUGGCCUCAUGGUGAAAUCCUUGAGCGGUUUCUUUCCUCUCCGGCAACUGAGUUAGGAAUGAUGCCUGAAUCUUUGUUGUGACUGGGUGUGUUGAUACACCAUCUAAAGU